GAUGAGUUCCUCUUAUAUUGAUUUUGUUUUAUUCUCUUAUAGUAAAGUUUGCACGCCCCGUGAAGGUAGGCUUGAGACCGAUCUACGUAUUUGUAUUGUGUUUCUUAUUUUAUUUCUUCUUUCUUCCUGCUGUAUCAUGUGGUAUCGGAUCCUGCGCAACAAUUGGUAUCAGAGCAAGAUGGUACCAGAGCAUAGAUUACAGCGGUGG
RNAcentral lists this long non-coding RNA (208 nucleotides) under Elaeis guineensis (African oil palm). RNAcentral describes it as "long non-coding RNA (EGUI_LNC022435)". Lineage: Eukaryota; Viridiplantae; Streptophyta; Magnoliopsida; Arecales; Arecaceae. The record is from RNAcentral.